RNAcentral lists this ribosomal RNA (400 nucleotides) under uncultured bacterium. Its description in RNAcentral is "bacterial SSU rRNA". It matches the Rfam family "Bacterial small subunit ribosomal RNA", at positions 355 to 752 of the family's 1533-position model. The record is from RNAcentral.
UGAGGAAUAUUGGACAAUGGGCGCAAGCCUGAUCCAGCCAUGCCGCGUGCAGGAUGACGGUCCUAUGGAUUGUAAACUGCUUUUGUACGGGAAGAAACACCGGUUCGUGAACCGGCUUGACGGUACCGUAAGAAUAAGGAUCGGCUAACUCCGUGCCAGCAGCCGCGGUAAUACGGAGGAUCCAAGCGUUAUCCGGAAUCAUUGGGUUUAAAGGGUCCGUAGGCGGCCUUAUAAGUCAGUGGUGAAAUCUCCCGGCUCAACCGGGAAAUGGCCAUUGAUACUGUAGGGCUUGAAUUACUAGGAAGUAACUAGAAUAUGUAGUGUAGCGGUGAAAUGCUUAGAGAUUACAUGGAAUACCAAUUGCGAAGGCAGGUUACUACUAGUGGAUUGACGCUGAGGG